AUCCAGCUGAUGAGUUAUAAAUAGGACGAAAUACGCAUUCUGGAU
This 45-nucleotide non-coding RNA is filed under the name Schistosoma mattheei. The record is from RNAcentral. Lineage: Eukaryota; Metazoa; Platyhelminthes; Trematoda; Strigeidida; Schistosomatidae.